UACCAGCACCCCGAGUGGUCGGGACGAUUAUUGGGCCUAAAGCAUCCGUAGCCGGUCCUGCAAGUCUUCCGUUAAAUCCAGCUGCUCAACAGAUGGGCUGCGGGGGAUACUACAGGGCUAGGAGGCGGGAGAGGCAAGCGGUACUUUAUGGGUAGGGGUAAAAUCCGUUGAUCCAUAGAAGACCACCAGUGGCGAAGGCGGCUCACUGGCCCGAUACUGACGCUGAGGCACGAAAGCGUGGGGAGCAAACAGG
This 253-nucleotide ribosomal RNA is filed under the name uncultured bacterium. RNAcentral's name for it is "partial 16S ribosomal RNA". It matches the Rfam family "Archaeal small subunit ribosomal RNA", at positions 474 to 727 of the family's 1478-position model. The record is from RNAcentral.